AUUNGUAACGCUGGCCGGCAGGCCUAACNCAUGCAAGCUCGANCGGAAACGAGUUCNCUGAACCUUCGGGGAACGUNAACGGCGUCGAGCGGCGGACGGGUGAGUAAUGCCUGGGAAAUUGCCCUGAUGUGGGGGAUAACCAUUGGAAACGAUGGCUAAUACCGCAUAAUAGCUUCGGCUCAAAGAGGGGGACCUUCGGGCCUCUCGCGUCAGGAUAUGCCCAGGUGGGAUUAGCUAGUUGGUGAGGUAAGGGCUCACCAAGGCAACGAUCCCUAGCUGGUCUGAGAGGAUGAUCAGCCACACUGGAACUGAGACACGGUCCAGACUCCUACGGGAGGCAGCAGUGGGGAAUAUUGCACAAUGGGCGCAAGCCUGAUGCAGCCAUGCCGCGUGUAUGAAGAAGGCCUUCGGGUUGUAAAGUACUUUCAGCAGUGAGGAAGGUUCAUACGUUAAUAGCGUAUGGAUUUGACGUUAGCUGCAGAAGAAGCACCGGCUAACUCCGUGCCAGCAGCCGCGGGUAAUA
This 523-nucleotide ribosomal RNA is filed under the name bacterium RD5-30. RNAcentral describes it as "bacterial SSU rRNA". It matches the Rfam family "Bacterial small subunit ribosomal RNA", at positions 32 to 525 of the family's 1533-position model. The record is from RNAcentral.